RNAcentral lists this ribosomal RNA (468 nucleotides) under uncultured bacterium. RNAcentral's name for it is "partial 16S ribosomal RNA". It matches the Rfam family "Bacterial small subunit ribosomal RNA", at positions 28 to 507 of the family's 1533-position model. The record is from RNAcentral.
GACGAACGCUGGCGGCGUGCUUAACACAUGCAAGUCGAACGGAAAGGCCCUGCUUUUGUGGGGUGCUCGAGUGGCGAACGGGUGAGUAACACGUGAGUAACCUGCCCUUGACUUUGGGAUAACUUCAGGAAACUGGGGCUAAUACCGGAUAGGAGCUCCUGCUGCAUGGUGGGGGCUGGAAAGUUUCGGCGGUUGGGGAUGGACUCGCGGCUUAUCAGCUUGUUGGAGGGGUAGUGGCUUACCAAGGCUGUGACGGGUAGCCGGCCUGAGAGGGUGACCGGCCACAUUGGGACUGAGAUGAGGCCCAGACUCCUCCGGGAGGCAGCGGUGGAGAAUAUUGCACAAUGGGCGGAGGCCUGGUGCAGCAACGCCGCGUGCGGGAUGACGGCCUUCGGGUUAUAAACCGCUUUCGCCUGAGACGAAGCGUGAGUGACGGUAAUGGGUAAAGAAGCACCGGCUAACUACGUG